Molecule: ribosomal RNA, 253 nt
Filed under: uncultured bacterium
Lineage: Bacteria
Description: partial 16S ribosomal RNA
Rfam family: Bacterial small subunit ribosomal RNA
Source: RNAcentral
UACGGGGGGAGCAAGCGUUGUUCGGAUUUACUGGGCGUAAAGGGCGCGUAGGCGGCGUGACAAGUCACUUGUGAAAUCUCCGGGCUUAACUCGGAACGGUCAAGUGAUACUGUCGUGCUAGAGUACAGAAGGGGCAACUGGAAUUCUUGGUGUAGCGGUGAAAUGCGUAGAUAUCGAGAGGAACACCUGCGGCGAAGGCGGGUUGCUGGGCUGAUACUGACGCUGAGGCGCGAAAGCUAGGGGAGCGAACGGG